UACGUAGGGGCUAGCGUUGUCCGGAUUUAUUGGGCGUAAAGAGCGUGUAGGCGGCCAGGUAGGUCUGCUGUGAAAACUCGAGGCUUAACCUCGAGAUGUCGGCGGAAACCAUCUGGCUAGAGUCCGGAAGAGGAGAAUGGAAUUCCCGGUGUAGCGGUGAAAUGCGCAGAUAUCGGGAAGAACACCCGUGGCGAAGGCGGUCU
This 203-nucleotide ribosomal RNA is filed under the name uncultured bacterium. RNAcentral's name for it is "partial 16S ribosomal RNA". It matches the Rfam family "Bacterial small subunit ribosomal RNA", at positions 524 to 727 of the family's 1533-position model. The record is from RNAcentral.